GACCUGGUGGCGAAAUGCAUCGCGCUCGCACCCUUUGCAAAGGCGGCAAAAGUGUUUGCGGGAGUUCCUUGUUCGAAUCAAGGUUAGGUCG
This is a non-coding RNA of Mycena vulgaris, 91 nucleotides long. The record is from the annotation of a GenBank genome assembly. Lineage: Eukaryota; Fungi; Basidiomycota; Agaricomycetes; Agaricales; Mycenaceae.